Molecule: long non-coding RNA, 3371 nt
Organism: Vicia villosa (hairy vetch)
Lineage: Eukaryota; Viridiplantae; Streptophyta; Magnoliopsida; Fabales; Fabaceae
Exons: 5
Source: RefSeq, a predicted model, not a curated record
UGGCCUAAAAUUUCCAUUUAGAAAAGUAACACUUAACAUAACGUGCUAAAUAUAUGGAACAAAGACAGAAACAUACGCUCUCCUAUUUCUUAUUGAAAUUGCGUUUUGAUAAGCGAUUUUUCUAAAUCACUUUUAAGAAGUGUUUUUAUUUUCAUUCCAAGAUCACUUGUUUCCAAACGCCAUUCUAUAUUUUCUCGUGAAACUAUGCUAAUAAAACUCUAACAACUUGAUUCACAAACGAAAGAUUACCGGUGAAACCGAAUGUUGUUGUGGCGUAAUUCCGGCCGGGGAAGCGUGUCCGGCGGCAUGCUCGGUUGGUAGAAGAACGGUGGUCAAGACGGAGAGACGCGCGGAUCUUGGCGUGGUGGACUCACAGUAGCAGCAUUUCCGGUUGUUCUUGCGUGUUUUGGUGAGUUCUCCUUUUCUUGCGAGUUUUCCUCUUCUUCACUUCUGUACGAUUCUAUGUUGCAGAAUUGCUGUUGUGUUGGUAUUAUUGUUGAUUGAUACUUUGUUCUUGCUAUUUGCUUUCAAUGUAAAGUUUUUCACCUUGCACACAAGGUGUUUGAUGAAAAGUCUCAACCAAAUUCUUUCACUUUUUUUCUGUUUCAGUUUGGCUUUUGCUUUUGUUUUCUCAUAUUCAUAUCAGUUUCAUUUGGAAUGAGAUUUGAUACAGUAUCGUGUGGAUUUCUGAAAUUAGAUGAUUUUAAGUUAGAUUGAGUAUAAACUUAGGUGAUUUUUGUAAACAAGGUGUUUGUUGAAAUGCCACAAUGAAUUUACUCAUGUUGAUUUUAAAUAUGCCACUUACAUAUUGGUAAAUUAAUAAAAUUUUAGACUGACCCUUAUGUGUUAAAAUUUACCUCAGUUUUUAUUAGGCGGAUCUUCAUGUUUCCUCUUAGUAGACUGCCAAUGCUAAGCUCUCACAUAAUGUUGUUUAUUAGUGCUUUCCCAAGUGUCAUAUGUACUAAUCCACAAGUUCCUUGCUAUGGUUACUGAUAUAUCAGGUAUGAACCUAUCCCAGUAUCAUCAAUAUCAGGGUCUGGAACUGGAGAGCUUCUUGACCUUUUUUUUAUCACCAACUAAUAAUAAGUUAAAUUAUGUGUUUUAGACUUAAAUCAUCUCUGUUUUACUUUUAUGACUUAUUGUUGUUUCUCUGAACUUUUAAAAGCUGAGAACCAAAUUAAAUUGAAGACCUAUCUAGAAGUUAAUAUGGCUUUGAAUCCAUAUGUGGAAUCUAUUUCCCUUCAAACUUAUAUUUUUCUUAUUUUUCUUCUUCAUACAAGUAGCUGUUUUACAAAAGAUUGUAAUGGGUUGUUUGCUUAUUUCCCUUCAUGGACAAGUCCUAAACUAGUAGGGUAUUUGGAGUCAUUGUCAUUCACCUUGUUUCGAACUCGGAAGGGGUCACGAUCCCGUGUUUCGAAUCUAUGUCAUAGUGCCUACCAAAUUUCUUAUCUCAAUCAUAUAGGAGCUGCAGAAUGAAUUGAGAGGUGUAGCUCUAAGUGUGUUCACAUCAAAGAUUGACCAUAGGGAACAACAGAUUUGGUACAAUAUUCAUUUUGUUAUCGAAUUCCAAACAAACUGGUGACAGGAAAUAAUCUACAGCUUCAUAGUUUUAGUUAUGAGUAAUUAAGGUGUAUUUUUAUUAUUUUUGUAUACUUUGAGUUUAUAUCAAUAACUAUGUUAAUUAUCUAACUACAUUGUUAAUAUAGAAUUUCAUAUGUAAAUGAAAUAGAGAAAACAAAUAUAGUUUCAUCAAUUUUAUGAUUUUAUGAUUCCUUGAUAAAAUAAGACAAGUUUGAAACUUAAUCCGUGUUUUGGAUAAAAUGAGUCAUUUAAGUGUUUAUAACUUAAUCAUUUAUAAUGAGUUUAUGUAUAAUUUAUUUCCCCAAUAAUGUAUAGACAAUAAUUCUUGCAAAGGUUUUACAGUUAUAAAGGUUCGAUAAUCAAUCUUUGCAAAUUUUUAAUAUGCAUCAGAACCAAAUAAAAUUACCAGUUACUCUCUAUCAGCAUAACAGUCAUUUUGUCUAUCUAAGCUCUAUCCAACAAUAAAAUUGGAGUCUAUGCAAAUUAGUCAUUCUAUAUUAAUUACAUUAGUUUCAAUGUUGUUAACUAAUUACUAUUAUCUCUAUUAUGAUAUGGUAAAUUAAUUAUAUUAUAGAUAUUACGAUAUGGUAAAUUAAUUAUAUUAUAUAUUGAAAUCCCAUACGAGGAUUGCAUGUUUUUCUUAUCUACAUCAGGUAUAUUUUCAAUGGCUAAUGAUUAUUAGAUUCAAUAAUUUUAACUAAUCAUAUACUUUGUCAGCUUCAACACAAUUUUUAGCUUCUUCGAUCAUUCUAUGAGGUAUCUGAUCCAAAACCUCUUUUUUCGGAUUAACCCCGGUGAUUCUUAAAUGCGGAGGUGCAAUCCACUGAGCAGGAAAGCAAUCACUAACGCCAGAAAGCAACGAGACCAUACGAAGUUUAUUCUAGUUUUCAUGGUACAUUUAUAUAAUGGUUGGUUAUUGUGUGUAGGUAAAGGCUCGAUCUUUGCCUCUUGAUAAGCACACCUUAGUUGCUCAUUUGAGGAAGGAAUUUAAUGAAGUUGUGGCAGUAAGAGGUGAUGGGACCAAUGGAGCUCCAGCUUUUCAUGAAGCUGAUAUUGGAUUUGCAUGCUGAUCCUGAAACUGACGAAGUCUAUACACAUGACUCUUCAACCGGUAACCAAAUAUGACUAGGAGGCAAUACUGGCAUCAGACUUUGGCCUUAAACAAAACCGUCAACCGACCAAAUUCUUUUGCAAGACUCUAACAGCUAGUGACACAAGCACUCACGGUGGAUUUUCUGUUCCUCGUAGAGCAGCUGAGAAAAUAUUCCCACCUUUGGAUUUUUCAAUGCAACCUCCCGCUCACAAUUCGUGGUUUCUUCAUCAGUGAUAUCCAGCGACAGUAUGCAUAUUAGCAUUUUAGGUUUGUGGCGCGAAUAGACAGCAGCCCGCGCUUUCUGCAUCAGUGAUAUCCAGCCUUUUACUAUUUAUCACAAUCCAAGAUUGGAUGGGAUGAAUCGACAGCUCGUGAGCGCCCAAGCAGAGUCCAUACUUUAAAUGCUUCGUUACAAAGACAAGAACAAGAUUUGUUGGGUCUUCUUCUCAUCCACCACAAAUGAAGAUGGCGUAAAUGAAUCAGAUGAAGAAGACCUUAGUAGUAAUUUUGAUUUCUAAUUUUUUUCUUUUUGACUUGGUUGUAAUUUGGAUUGUCUUGUUAACUUAGUUGACAAAUGAUUAGUAAUAGUUUGGUUUUUGAGUCGUUUUUAAUAAUGUGAUUAUGUAAAUACUCGUUACUAACUUUGUUGUAAAAUUUAUAGUAACUUGUUCUAUGAAUUUGAAUUUAUCUUAUUUAA